CGGGGAGAGGCUGGUCUAACGGAGUUUAAGCCUUUUGCGGGGCUCCUAGCAGUCGUAUGUUUGUUUGCAGAAAUGAUUACGUGAGCACAGAGGGCAGAUUACAGUGAGGAAAGCAUAUUAUCCAGUUUGUGUCUUUCAAAAGUUCUUUUUCCUCUAUGAGUCACGGCAUAACCACGUUCUUGCUGGUAGGUGCGUAAAUGUUACAUCCAUUUUGGGAAGCGCUUUGUCAGAAUGAAGUAAAACCGCACAUUUUCAAAUACUGUAGCCUGGCAUUCUGCUUCUAAGUUUGUAUCUUACAGAACCUUUGACGUGUAGGCAAGAAUGCGUAACAGCACUGAGUAGAAGCAAAAGAUUAGAAACCUCCCCUGGUGAGAACAAAUACAUGAAUGGGAUGCUCAUAUGAGGGAAUAUUGUAUGCCAGUAAAUCAGUACUAAACCCAGAAAUAUGAGGCCAGAAGAGGAAGAUGUAGAAUGUAUAUAGCAUGACAAUUUAUAUACAUACGAUCUUAAAACAUGUAACGCUACCGUAUGUUGCUUAGGUAUAUAUGCAUAUGUAUUGGAAGUACUCAAGAAAUAAAAGGGGGUAAAAAUCGAACUUGGAAUUUUUACGUCCAGUAGGAAAAGAACUGGAAAGUAGUACAAGAAAGGGUUUUGCGGGCGCCUGGGUGGCCCAGUUGGUUAAGCAUCCGACUUGGCUCAGGUCACGAUCUUGUGGUUAGUGGGUUCCAGGCCCCGCGUUGGGCUCUGUGCUGACCGCUCAGAGCCUGGAGCCUGCUUGGGAUUCUGUGUCUCCCUCUCUCUGCUCCUCCCCCACUGAUAACUCUGUCUGUCUCUCUCAGAUUCUGUGUGUGUGUGUCUGUCCCUCACCCGCUCACACUCUAUCUCUCUCUCUCAAAAAUAAAUAAGCAUUAAAAAAAAAAAAAAAAGGAUUCGAUAAAGACUGUCUCCUGAUUCCUUAAGUUCUUGAGCAAGUGAGCUCAAGGCAAGAAACUACAGACAGAAUGUAUAAAUUCAAAAUUUUGAAGCCUAUGCAGUUUUUAAAAAUUACAAAGUCCAGAUGCAUCGGGGUUGUAAGUCAAAUUUCGAAAUCAGCGGAAUAACAUUAUUUAAAUUCAAGCAGGUUAAGAUUUUUGUUGCUUAGAUUAUUUUUAGAAAAAAAAAAUCAUAAAAAUAAUACAAUCAUGAGAAAAGGAUCAGAUUCCGCUAUUGGGACAUUCUACAAAAUAUCUGCCCAGCAUUCCUCAAACUGUCAAGCUCGUAAAAAACAAGGGUAGUCUGAAAGACUGCCACGGCAUAAGGAGACAUGAUAAUUACAUGUGAUGUGGUUUCUUGGAUCUUAACAGAAAAAUAAUAUUAGGUAAAAAUUAAGGAAGUCUGAAUAAACUAUGGCCUUCAGUUAACAACACUGUACAAAAUUUGGCACACCUGGUGGCUCGGCUGAGCAUCCGACUCUUGAUUUUGGCUCAGGUCAUGAUCCCAGGGUCAUGGGAUCAAGCCCCAUGUUGGGCUCCACACUCAGUGUGGAGCCUGCUUAAGAUUCUCUCUCCCUGCCCCUCUCCCCUGCCCACGCUCUCUCUCCCUCUCUGUCUCUCCAAAAUAAACAAAAAGCCCUCCCCCCCCCCCCCCCCCAAAACUCAACAAUGUACAAAACUGGUCCACUACCUUCACUGUAACUAUUAUACCCUCCUUUGGUCUCUAUAUUCUUCUUUACCCAGCUUCAUUUUUAGUAGUUCAUUGUUACAGUCACUCUAUCUCAUCUAACUCAAAUCAGUCUUCCAUAUCACUCUCCUAAAAAAUGUACCACCUUGGAUAAAUGCAACCUGUUUUCUUCAACGCACAGAGUGGUUUUUGUUGUUGUCGUUGUUUUGUUUUUUAGAGAGAAAGAGGGCAUGGUGAGCGAGGGGCAGAGAGGGGGAGGGAGAGAGAAUCCCACGCACUGAGAGUGUGGAGCCACAAGUGGAGCUUGAACUCACCCGAUGUGGGACUCAAACUCAUGAACCGGGAGAUCAUGACCUGAGCCUAAGUCAGAUGCUUAACUGACGAGCCACCCCGGUGGCUCAUAGAGUGUUUUUUAAAUUAAGGUGUGUUACAUAAAAAUCAAGAUUUCUGGCUCCUCUUAAAUCAGAGGAUGUGACAACAUAGGAUUGGCACUGUUGGUGGCAGCAGUCCAGUGGCCACCCCCUUGAGACUGGAUAUAUAUUCUUGAGUUUCAUGUCCACUCAGCCUGCUUCAGGUUCAUUUGUCUUGGCCCCUGUAGGCAUUUGAGCUUUAAGCCUGUGCCACAAAUUCAUGGUCAACAGCUCUCAAGUGGUGCCUAACAUCCCCACUGCAGUUCAGUUAAUUUACGUACCUACUCUCUGUGAAGAUUAUUUCAUGUUUUUUUUCUUCAGUAACCAAAUCUUCCGUCCCUUUCGAAACUUCACCCUUUUUCAGCUGACAGUUGCUUCAUGUUUAUCAAUGUACAAACACGCUUCGGUCUUUCCCCUCUCCUUCCGGGCCCUACUUGACCUCAUCUUCCCUUCUAUGUUCUUCCAUCAAGCUCCUUAGAAAAGAAUCCUGUGAAAUUACUGUUUUUGUACAUCAGAAACUGUCAGAGUUCAGCAGUGUCCUAUGAUUUAACCUAAUACGUGAUCAUUAUGAUCUCUUCCUUACAUCCCAUUCUGUUUCCAGUUUGAUCUGACUUUUGCCCCAAUCAUGCUCUUCAGACUGCUUCCACGUUGCCAAGACCAAAAGGUAGUCUAUGUCCGUGGUUUUCUUAAUCUCUGAGAAGCUUUGGCCGCUCCCUCCUUGAAACACUACCCUUUCUGACCAACCCACCGCCUGCUUUGCUGGUUUUCUUUUUCUCCCUGUCCUCUAAAAGGCUUCUUCAGGAUUUGGAACUGGUUCCCUUCUCUUCUCUUUCUACACCCUCUUCUUGGGGAAAUCCACGUAUACCUAUAAUUUUAAAUUUCGUCUCUAUCCUGCUUACUACCACAUUUAUUUCUUUUAAAUUCAAGACUCUUCUCAAAACUGUUCAGCCUGACAUCUCUUGUUGGAUACAUUUUGGCGUCUCAAAGUUAAUGUGUCCAAAAUAAAACUUACCUUUCCACCCCCAAACCUGUUUUCAGUGCAGUGUUUCCCAUGUCAGUAAGUGGCAUAAGCCAGAAACCUCAGUUUCAUUUUUAAGUUUUCCUCCCCCCCACCCCCAUAUCCCAUCCAUCAGCAUAUUUUUUUCCAGUAAUACCUGUAAAAUAUAUCUCCCGAUGGCCUAACUCCUCCCAUCUCCACCACCACCACUGGAAUCUCUCCCCCAGACUAGCAAUGGCCCCAUUAAGGUCACUUUUUUCUCCCUUGCUUCUGCUCUGUCCAUUUUCUACAUAGCAGCCAGAAUGAUCUUUUAGAAAUGUGAACUCAAUUGUGUCAUAACCUUGCUUAAAGUCCUCCAAAGGCUUUCUGUUGCUCUUAGAAUAAAAUCUACACUCCUUACCUUGGUUUACAAGGUCCUGUAUAAACCACUUCUGGGUUAUCUUCUCAGGGUCACUUGGUUUCCCCGCCCCAGCUCAUUUGUAGCCUUCUGUGGUUCCCUAACCCGGACCAGGGCUUUCUAGCCUCGGGUUUUAUGCACACUCUUCCCCUUUGCCUUUCCCAUGGCUCAUUCUUUCUCAUCUUUUUUGCUUCCUAAGCAUUAGCAUCUGCAUAGUUAGGAAUUUAGUAAGGUGUUUAAAUUAUAGAACAAAUCCAGAUGCCGUGACCAAAGUAUUGGCAAUUACUGUGCUUCUGUUUUAGGUAACUCUUUAAAAAUCUUUUUUAGAGAUUUUAAAGAUUUUUGUCAUAGGAAAAUAUAAUUGGAAGGUGGCAGUUGUUUUUUAGCAUAGUUUUUUACGUCACUCAUCAGUUGGUCCAGGCUAAGUGUAACCAGAAUCAUAUUACUUUUAGCCUAAGAAAAGCAUAAUUGAGAAGAUAAAAAUAAUAGUACAACAAAUCCAGAAUUAAUGUGUUCUUGGUGUGGCCCACCAUUUUAGACUUUGCAUAUUGUUCUUGACUAUCUUGAAUAAUAAAUAAUUGAACCCCAGUAUAAUGUACGUAUAUGUGUGUAUACACAUAUGGACACAUAGGUAUAUAUGUGUGUAUACAUCAGAGAGAGAGACUGAGAGAUUUUUUUAAAAUACAUACACUAAAAUGCACACAUCUAAGUGUAUACGUGGAUGGUUUUUGACUAAUUUUUAUAACUUUACAACCAGUAUUUACGACAAAGGUAUAGACCAUUGCCAUCCCUGUGGAAAAUUCCCUGAUGAUCCUUUCCAGCUAACCCUCCUCCCCACCACAACCAUCUGAUAUCCUGAUUUCUACAAUUAUAGAGUAGUUUUGCCUAUUCUGAAAUUUCACAUAAAUGGCGCCCUACGGUCUGCACUCUUACUUACCUUCUUUUGUUCAGCUCAGUGUUUUCAAGAUUGCAUCACGUCAUCUGGACCAAUAGUGCAAUUCCUUUUUCGUUACUAAGUAGUAUUCCGCCGUGUGAAUAUACUACAAAUUAUGUAGACAUUCUUUUCUAGAGGGAAAGUGGGAUGUUUGCAAUUUUUUGAUACUAUGAAUAAAACUGUCGUCAACAUUUUGUGAGUAUGUUUUAAUGUCUUUGGGGGAAAUACCUAGAUUUAACGUUGCUUGACCAUAAGGUGGGUGUAUCUCUAACUUCAUAUAAAAUUGCCAAAUGGUUUUUCCAAGUGAACCCCAUUUUAUUUAUUUAGCAUAUUCCUCCAAAGAAUGUAAGGCAUUUAUUUCUGCUGCAGGCUUUUAAAAUCGGUUUGUGUCACUAGCUCUGUCAUACACAUCUGAAAAACAAAGUGGUUUCCUGAGUCUCUAACAGUCAAUUUGUCUCUACUUUGAGAUCAUUAAUGUAAAGAAUAAGAAAAGCGUUGAAACUUGAAAAGAAAUGUGCAGUAAUUGAAUGUGGAAAGAAGGAAAACUCGAAAGUCAUUCAAUAUUUAUUAGCAUCCAGGUUAAGUCAGCUGUGCUGAGUGAUGAGACUAUAAACACGAAUAAAACAUGACCCUUGCCCUCAAGGACUCCACAGAGAGUUUGGUGGAAGAAAAAGGUGAGUGUGUUCCAAUAUUCUAAGUGGUCUAGGAGAGGACACUGAACACGAGCAGUGCAGGCAUUAUGUGGAUGACCCUGUGUGUGUACGUUACAGGGGGGAGUGGAUGAGAGACGAGCCCCCGGACAAGAAGGAAGCCUCACGGAGGAGGUUGGACUUGAGGAAACAGUAACGCUUUGACCAUAGAACAAAUAGUAAGGGUAUUUUAGGUAGAGGGUAUUUUAACUUUUUUUUUUUUUUUUAAGUUUAUUGGUCCUGAGAGAGGGGAGAGAGAGAAAGAGAAAGAAUGCAAGUGGGGGGAGGGGCAGAGAGAGAGGGAGAGAGAGAAUCCCAAGCAGACUCUGCCACCAGCACGGAGCCCGACCUGGGGCUUGAACUCACAAACCACGAGACUAAGACCUGAGACGAAACCAAGAAUUGGAUGCUUAACUGACGGAGCCACCCAGGCGCCCCAAGGUAUUUUAACUUUUGUAAAAGCACAGUUGUUUUGAAUAACAACUUUCAAAACUCGGGGAAAUGAAGGUCAUCCAACAGCUUUAGAAAAUAAGGUCAACAGGGGCGCCUGGGUGGCGCAGUCGGUUGAGCGUCCGACUUCAGCCAGGUCACGAUCUCGCGGUCCGGGAGUUCGAGCCCCGCGUCGGGCUCUGGGCUGAUGGCUCGGAGCCUGGAGCCUGUUUCCGAUUCUGUGUCUCCCUCUCUCUCUGCCCCUCCCCCGUUCAUGCUCUGUCUCUCUCUGUCCCAAAAAUAAAUAAACGUUGAAAAAAAAAAAUAAGGUCAACAAAUGAACAGGAACGUGACUUAUUAAAAUGAGGGAAAUUAGUUGUGCACCAGCCUUGAGUAAAAAUACUAAACAAAACCCAUAAUUUUUGGUCAUUAAGCCAAAGUCAUAAGCCAAAGCUAUGUCCACUUUCAUGUUUUCUUCUGUGAAGGAAUUUUAAUAAAGUUCAGUGUAUGUUUUGUUGUAUUUCGGUUUUCAGAAGACACUGGCAGUUUAACUCCAGCAGGAAAAAUUUUUCCAAGCUAGGAGGAAACCUGGAUCCACAUUCUGUGUGAGGCUGUGGUUAGGAAGUCCACAUGAGUCUCAGUCGACUCCCUUUGAUUUGCCCUUUGUCUUGGUAGGUUGGCAGGAGAACAAUUUCAAACGAGAACUGAUUAGGAAAUUCUGGGGUAGAAAGUAUGUAAUGAGAAUUCUUGCCUCCGGGGAAAUGUCAGUAAUGAUGACUGAAGUCAUGGGAACUGAAAUACUAUGAAUAAUGGAAAAAUGUAUAGUGAAGAAUAAUUAUGUAAAAGAAUCAUUUUUUCCCCCAUAAACAUUUUCGUUUGAGAUCCUGAGAAGCGAGGGGAAGGGGGAGGUGGAAAUGAACAAGAUAAAAUCUAUUUUUUAAUCAAGGAGGCAAAGAUUGCACUGUUCCAGAAUUUUUCUACCUGCAAACAGUGAAGCAUUACCAGGCUUGUGACCAUGUGAUUGGACAUUCUGAUCGAGUCUCAGCCCUCUAACCCAGGUCUUCAUUGUCUGUCUCCAGAUGUUUCUGUUCCCAAAUCCUGUGUUUGCUCCAGCUUCCAAAAUACCUUCAACUACCUUAGACUUUAAGGCCGGUGCAACGUGAGGAAGAAGCUAGUCAAAUAUCAGAAGUGUUCAGACAGGAAGAGUGUUGCAGUGAGAGUAGGAGAAGCCGUUGCAGUGAUUUAGGGAAGCCUAGUUACCUUUAGACAGUCAAGUACAAUUCGGAAAAGUGGGAAAAGAUACGAUGUAGAGUUUUGUAGUAGGUAGGAAACAUCUAGUGGACCGUUGAACUUCUAAUAAAUUCCAGGAGACUCAUCAGUUGGGGUCAACAGUCCUUGCUCUUAAUGAUUAUGUUAGUUGUUUUGUUUUUUUCCUAGGUAAUUUGAUCACUUGGAGCUGUGCACAUCUCUUCCUGGCAAACUUAGUAACAAAGGAAGAGGUUCGUGCUCUGUUCCCACAUACUUGCCUCAUAAUGAUUUAGAAAUGAGGGCUGACAAAUUUCAAGUCUGUUGUUAGCUCGGAUUGAUUGAUUGAUUGAUUGAUUGAUUGAUUAUGGCUACCUGGACCUGAGUUGAGAUGUUUCUGAGGCCAAUUCCAGGCUAACUGAAAAGUAAAGAUUAUUAAUGUCCGGUGGGGGCUUAUGGGGGGGGGAGACCUCUUAUACCUUAUUCUUCUCACUUCUGGCUUAGGUAAUUAGUAUAAGAGAAGUAGUUUUACUGCUAGAGGAAAAGGUUUGCCCAGACUUGGAAACAGGUUAGAUGGUAGUGUGGGGCAUGGCUUAUCAUGGUGGGCAGUCUGCAAGAGGGUCCCUAAAUCAAAGCUGGAAAGAAGGUAUCUUUUUCCACUGUGGAGGAAAAACAUGAGUUUUGGAGCCCGACAGACUAGAUUCUACGUUCUGUCACUUCCUAAAGCCUGUUUCUUUGUCCUUAAAGUGGAAGCACAGAUACUUGUUGAAGAGAAUCUCGGACUUAUAAGCCCACCUGGGAUAAUGAAUGUAGAACAUCUUUUCCAUUUUGUACAGCACUGGCACCUGGGAGGCCCAAAGCAUGUCCUCUCCCUUGCUCUCCUUUGGAGUCUGGUCUGUGGGCCCCUGGGUGUCUCUGGGACCUUUGUAAGGGAUGUGUGAGGUCAAAAUUAUUUUCAGAAUAGUGUUAAAACAUUAUUUGCCUUUUUUUACUUCAUUGCCAUUUCUCUGGUGAUGCAAAAGCUAUAAUGGGAAAAACAACCUAGUGCUUUACCACGAAUCAAGGCAGUGGCACUGGCCGUUAUUGUACUUUUCGCCACCAUGCACUCUUAAGAUAAAAACAUAAAAGCAGUUCACUUAAUAAUAGGUGUGAUGAGGGCAGUAAAAAUCAUUAAUUUUAUUUGAUCUCCAUAUCUGAGUACACAUCUUUUAAAUAAACUGUGUGACAAAAUGGGAACUGUGGAUAAGACAUUUGUGCUAUAUAAUCAGUACAAUGAUUGUCUGGAGGAAAAGCACCUGUUCUGUUGUUUGAGUUGCAAGCUGAACUAACACCACCUUUCCCAUUGAAUACUAUUUUUACUUGAAAGAACAGACAAACUAGGGUUAUUCAGAGUUGAGUAUUUGGCUGACAUCUUCUGAUAGGCUAAACCAGACUACUGCUACUUCAAGGGAAACAACCGAUGCGUAGCCUAUGAACAUUUGAGCUUUUAAGUAAAAGUUACAGUUUGGAAAACUUGUAUCCACCACUGUGAGCCUGACAGCUUCCUACAACUGAGAUACUUUUCUGUUAAGAUCAUUGGUGAUAUGAACAAAUGCAGUUUGUUUUAUGUAGUUAAAUGUUUCCACAUUUGGAUUACCUGCAUAACUGAGUGAACCAUAUUUUCAAAUGAUCAGUACAUGAUGUUACAAAGUAAGAAAUGGGAAAAGAUCAUUUGAGGUGUAAGAUAGGCCAAUGGAAUUAAAAAACUUUUUUUUAAUGUUUGUUUAUUUCUGAGAGAGAGAGAGAGAGCAUGAGCAGGGGAGGGGCAGAGAGAGAGGGAGGCACAGAAUCCGAAGCAGGCUCCAGGCUCUGAGCUGUCAGCACAGAGCCCAACGCAGGGCUCAAACUCAUGAACUGCUAGAUCAUGACCUGAGCCGAAGUCGGAAGCUCAACCAACUGAGCCACCAGGCACUCCUACGUGGGCCAAUAGAAUUUAAUGUACCAGUAUGAAAAUGUCACUGAUACUAUUUAGAUUUCACGUUGCAACUACUCUUUUAAAAAAAAUCUGUCACUGUGGAGUGUUGGUGUGGUAUCAAAUAAGAUUAGCCACAAUUACCUGAAAAAGUUAUUAAAAUACUGCUCCCUUUUCUAGCAUACCUGUGUGAGACGGUUUUCUUCAUAUACUUCAACCAAAUGCAUAUGGCAAUAGAUCCAACGCGGAGACAGAUGAGUGUCCAGUUGUUUUCGACCGAGCUAGACCUUACGGAUGUCACAAAAAGGUAAGACAAUGCCACACUUCUCACCAAACGGUGCAGCAAAAAAGAAAUGCAGUGAAAAAGAAUUUAUUUUGGAAGACACAGUCACUUGUCGUAAAAAUAUUUAUGUGACCGUGUAUGAGGUUUCUAUUAUUAUUUUUAUUUUUAUAUAAGUGAAUGAAUAUUUCCAGAAAGUCUUCAUUUUAAUGUCUGAUAAAUAUUGAUAGAUGAAAAUCCACAUAAAUGAAAGUUCAGUGAUUUUUAAGAGGUAAGGGGGUCCUGGGAUCAGAAAGCUUACGAACACUGUCCUAGUCCCCUACUUCUGCUACCGCUGCAUGUGCUCUGAUCCCCAGAGGAGAGCCAGAGCUGUCCCUGCAAAUUCUGGAAGUAAUCCCUAUUUGUCGCAAACUUUGACUGUUACACUAUUAGGGUGGGUUCCACGUCAAAAUAUGCAUGUUCCCACGGUAAUCUUGCCCUUGCAAAGUUACUCAGAAACAUGGGCACGUGGGAUUAUUUUCCAUUUUGCCCUGUGGAUUCUGAACAAGCUUUGGUACAAUUUUGCUGACUUGCCUUGAGCUGACGGCCUGCGAUUGUUAAUUUAUCCUGUAACUAAACUGAUUUUGCUUCGCUGUUACCCUGUCAUGUCCUUAGAUUUCCAGUGCAACUGCUGAUUAAGUCAAGCAGGUCAAAUUUUGUGGGACAGAUAGGGGACUGGCACUCUGUUGUGCCUGUUAAAAUUAAACUUGGAAACACUUUAAAAAGAAACCCACAAAAGUGUUCUCAAAACAGCCAUUCUGGUUGUCAAAUGAAAUAGGGGAGCAAUUAGGCCUCUGUCCUGUGAUAGAUUAAAAAUUUUCUGCUGACUGGCAGUGUCCUGUUUCUACCUCCGAACUGUUCUGCAGGUACUUGGCUGUACUCCGACGGGAUAAGAAGAUUCUGCGGUUGAAAUAUUUUAACUACAGUCCUUGCUGACAAAAGACUAAAACCUUUUUAGCCAUUAGACAAAUUACUCUGGCUACAGUUUCAUAUAUGCCCGGAAUUAUUGAAAUAAACUCUUUUUUUUUUUUUUUGGAAAACUGACAAUAACUUUAACCAUUAUAAUGAACCACAAUGACAUCAAAAUAUUUCUGCAAAAUAAUUGAUACAAAUGCUUUUAAAGGUUUUAGCGCUGGGACUUAUAUAAGCCGAAGCGUAAAAUUACAUGAAGAACCUUCGUCAGAUAGCAGUUUCAUGUUGCUCAUUUGCACUCAGCUUUCAUAUUGUGCAGACGCGAUCCCAGUGCCAUCUAUUCAGACUAGUUUUUAGAUAUCUGUGGUGCUUCAAGCUAGGUUUCGGUGGUCUUUGAAAGCUGGUUUAUGUGCGUGAAAUUGGACAAGAUUGAAUUGAAAUAAUUUGCUAGAAUUCUACUUAAUUUUAGUUGAUCUGAGAGAAGAUACUUGAAACUGGGGAGAGGUAGUGGUCUGGUGACUUUCACACGGUGAAUUUCAGAAAACUGUAAGCUUCAUAAAGGUAAGGACUUUGUCACUCUAGGCCUAUCACUUUGUAUCCAGUGCUUAGCAUACCGUAUAGUAAAGGCUCAAAAAUAUUUGGAAACCGAGAUGGAAAAUCCGGGGAAAAAGGGAGCAGCAAGCUGACCCCACUGAAUCAGUUAAUAGGGGUGAUUUUAAUCACAUGAAUGGAGUUUGAAGAAAAUGUUCAUUCACAGUAGCAGCAUCUUUUGUAACAGAAUGAUUUGAUAUUUAGGAUCCAUUUGAGAUUGACAAUUAAUCCAACUUAGUCUGCUGCCCAGCUGACGGGUUUCCUCAAGCAGUGCUCAGGGCAUUCGUUCAUUCAGUCAUUCAUGGAGCGUACAUUCAUUGGGCACCUACUACAUGGCAGAAUGCUAGAGAUACAGGGGAUUAAAACAGACAAAAAUCCCUAUCCUCUCAAAGUUUACAUUCUAGUGGGGGAAAGACAGUAAAUGGUACACUAUUUACACUAUUGUGUUACAAUGUGUAUAUUCUGACAGACGGAGACAAGUGCCAUAGAGAAAAACAAAUCAAGCAGGAAAGAGGAAAUGAGAUAUCACAGUUUCAAAUAGAGUGAUCAGGGGGGCACCAGGGUGGCUCAGUCGGUUAAGCGUCCGACUUCGGCUCAGGUCAUGAUCUCGAGGUCUGUGAGUUCGAGCCCCGCGUCGGGCUCUGUGCUGACAGCUCGGAGCCUGGAGCCCGUUUCAGGUUCUGUGUCUCCCUCUCUCUCUGCCUCUCCCCCACUCACGUUCUGUCUGUUUCUCAAAAAUGAAUAAAUGUUAAAAAUAAAAUAGAGUGAUCAGGGAUACCUGGGUGGCUCAGUAGGUUGAGCAUCUGACUCUUGAUUUCAGCUCAGAUCAUGAUCCCAGGGUGAGUGUGGAGCCUGCCGAAGAUUCUGUCUCUCUUCUUCUGGCCCACUUGCUCCCUCUCAGAAAGGAAAGAAAAGAAAAGAAAAGAAAGGAAAGGGAAGGGGAGGGGAGGGGAGGGAAGGGAAGGAGGAAGGAAGAAGGAAGAAAGAAAGGAAAGAAAGAAAUGUUAUUGACAUAAAUUGACUUGGAAUAUUAUAUAGUUUCAGGGGGACAACAUAAUGAUUCAGUAUUUGUACAUGUUGUGAAAUGAUCACCCCAAUAAGUCUAGUUAGCAUCCAUCACCAUGUAGUUAAAAAGAUUUUGAAACACAGGACACUGCACUGAGAAACUCCUAUGAUUGUAUGUAGUACAAAGCACACCUUGCUGCACUUGACAGUUGACGGGACGCUGGGAGGGAAACAAGCCCGCAAAUGCCAGAGCCUCACAUUCGCUCACCCUCAGUAGUACGCGCUCCUUUCUCCGUUCUCAUUCUCUGCACAAGCCAGAAAUAAGACAACCGACAGAAAUUACGGAGUCCUUCCUUUAUAAAAUUCUCUGUGGUGUGACAUAUUUAUUCAUUGAUCUUUUUUUAAUUUAAAAAAUUUUUACUUUUAGGAGAAAGAGAGCGAGAGAGAGAGAGAGAGAGAGAGAGAGAACAUGAGCAGGGGAGGGGCAGAGAGAGAGGGAGACACAGAAUCGGAAGCAGGCUGCAGGCUCCGAGCUGUCGGCACAGAGCCCAACACGGGGCUUGAACCCACGAACCGUGAGAUCAUAAUCUGAGCCGAAGUCCGAUGCUCAACCGACGGAGCCACCCAGGCGCCCCUAUUCAUUAACCUUUUACUAAGCAUUUCAUUAUGUGCCUGCUUGAUACUGGGGCCCAUUCCUAAAGAGGGGAACAAAGCCCAUGUCUUUUGGGAAAUUAUGUAUUUUCCAGGGAGACAAUACUGAACUAGUCAUUGGGAGAUAAUUUAAGAAUUAUUUUUAUAUGUGCCACGAAGGACCAGCUGAGACUAUGAGAACAUCAAGGGCACGAUCCUUAUCCGGGACAUCAGGAAAGACCUGCUGGAGUAGGUGACAGACAGUAUUGGCACAUGUGCUCAACACGUUUUGAUUUGUGUUGAUUUAUAUGAUUAUAUCUCUACCCUUGAGAAGUAUACGUUUCACCAUAGGAUACAAAAGUGAGUAAUCAUUUUGGCUCAGUAGUGUAUGGUCUAGGAAAAAGACUCACAAAUUUCUGUGGCUACAUAGAUUUUUAAGAAGAAUUAUUAACUGAAUUUUUCAGUUUAAUAAUGUUAUUCUAGCUUGUCAGUUGUUUUUUAUUGUUUGUUGGUAUGUUUGACAAGUCAUAAAAUGUAUACACCUUCCUGUCUCUUGUGUGUGUGUGGAGGUGUAUUUGAUCACGUUUAGAAUAAAAUACAGAAACACAAACUAAAUUUUCCGGUUCAAUAGCAGACACACUAUACUUUCUGAGGCGCUUUCUACAAAAAAGUAGGUACAAAAUAAAAUUUUGUUCGAUUUUUAAAUGAACGUGUAAUGUACAAAAGUAACAAUCUGAAAUCCUAAGUCCUACAUACAUUGGUGAGCUCCUUGCCGCCUUUUCUUUUCUUUUUUUUUUUUAAGUUUUAUAGAUUUAUGUAUUAAUAUUUGACCUUGAAAACAUACACAGAACUAUAGCUUCUCUUCAAGUCUUUUGAAUUUGAGGUUGGAUGGAUUGUUUAGAGUGGUCUUUAUAACUUUUAUUUGGGGGUGGACUAAAGGUUUUACCCAAUUCUCCCUAUUGAUAUCCCCUAGGCCAGACCACACUUACUUACAUGCUUUUUUGGCUACAGGCGCUAGAAUCCUUAUUUAUUUAUUUAUUUAUUUACUUACUUACUUACUUGCUUAUUUAAAAAGUUUAUUUAUUUUGAGAGAGGGAGAGAGAGUGCACUCACAAGUGGGGGAAAGGCAGAGAGAGAAAGAGAGAGAGAGAGCGCGCGCAAGAAUCACAAGCAGGCUCCACGCUGUCGAUGCAGAGCCUGAUGUGGGGCUCAGACUCAUGAACCAUGAGAUCGUGACCUGAGCUGAAACCAAGAGCCAGAUGCUUAACCCCCUGAGACCCCCAGGUGCCCACAGAAUCCCAAUUCAAGUGAGGUUAGAAAGAAAAGUCAGUUUCCCAACAAUAAAGGAUUGUUUGCUCCACUUUUUCUGAGUAUCAACCUCAUUCUUCUCUCUCGUUGCAAGCAUUCUUUCAACACAUGAGAGAAACUUGACCUCUGAUAGCUCCUGAGCUUUGCAGCUGACCAAGUUGGCCACCUGCAGAGAAACCACCUCAACUCUCUGGGCCCUAGGUCCAAGACCAGUGGGAAAACCCUCUCUGGGCCACAAGGUCUAGACACAGCAACUGUGAUAGGAGGAGGAGAGAUGUGUGUGUGUGACGUUGUGUCAUAACUGGAGAUCCUGAGAGAACAAUUUGGGUAGGAUGACGGGAAAUUGUUCUCAGAAGAAGGAGGCAAUUCUGAGAAAAGAAUUACAUGUGAGCCUACCAUGGUAUUAUUGGAAAGAAGUGUCAGAGAAUGGGACUAAACGAUGAAUAAGGAACCAAUGUUGGACAUUUUAUGUGAGGGAAAGGGAGAAAAGAAGGUCAGGAGAUUUCCCUGAGAAAGCAAGGAAACAUGAGAAACUUUAGCCAAGACGAAGUGGGACAUAACCAAAACAUUGACAGAUGUUACACCCCAUUUACUUUCAAACACUUCAGUAAAAAACAAAUAGAUGAAACAGAAAUGGCAAGAUGUUAAUAUUAAAACUGGGCAAUGAGUAUAUAGAUGUUUUCUAAAAAGUGGCUCUCGGGGUGCCUGGGAGGCUCAGUCUAAGCAUCCGACUUUGGCUCAGGUCAUGAUCUCACAGGUUCAUGAGUUUGAGCCCCACGUUGGGUUCUGUGCUGAUGGCUCAGAGCCUGGAGCCUGCUUCCAAAUCUGUGUCUCCCUCUCUCUCUGCCCCUCCCCCACUCGCAUUCUGUCUCUCUCAAAAACAAAUAUUAAAAAAAGUAAAGUUUUGUCUGUUAAGUCUGAUAUUUGGGCUUCCUCAAGAACUAUUAACUUUUUUCUUCCUAUGAAUGGUUCUUUCUUUCACAUGUGACUUUGUAAUCUUUUCAUUGAAAACUUAAUAUCUUGAAUAUUCUCAUGUGGCAACUUUGGAAAUCACUUUUUCCCUCUCUCUCCAUGACGUGUUGUUGCUGUUUGUUGUAGUUGUUGUUGCUUGUUUUUUAAAUGGCUUUUCUGAACUAAUUUUCAAAGUAUAUUCUUUGUCAUGUGUGGUCACUUAAGUUUCUGUUCCAUUAGUUUACUAGUCAGCUAGUGGUCAGGCAGAGAGUUCUUUUAAUCCCUGGAGUAAAAAAAAAAAAGGAAAAAAAAAAGCCCCCUAAAAACUCUCUCCAGUCUUUUCAGAUGGGCUCUGUGUUGUGGCACUCCUCGAUACUUGGCCGGGCCAUUUACUUCCUGCUUGCAUGGAGCUUGAAGGUCAGCCAAUGAGAAGAUCUUUGAAUCUUCUCGGGUCUUUUCUGAGCAUCUAUCCAGCCCAGGCAUGCGUGGAGUCUUCUAGUUCUCUGGAUUAAAUGGGAGCUUCUCAAAGCCCUUAUUCCCUGCAAUGUGCCCUUCUCCAGCCUCUUUCUUCCCAGUAUUUUGGCUUUUCUGUUGCUUGCCCUAAUUGUUACCCUUUGCCACAGAUGGCAGCCGCUUAUACAUUUGCAAAUGUCACCCAGGAAACUGCCUUGGAGCUGAUGCGUGUGAAACAAAGGCAAGUCCUUGAGCAGAUCCUUCAAGGAGCUUACGGGGAGCUUCAGGGAGCUACUUCGGUCAAAACGUGGAUCCACGGUUCUUUGAGGUGAGAUAAGAUUGGUUCUGGUCCCUCCGGUACCAGUAACCUGCACCAGGAAAAUGGACUUCUGUCUUCAAGUCUGUAGCUGCGUUGGGGAUGGUAACAAGGUAAGUCAAAAUGCUCUCUUACCAAAAUUCAGCUGGCUUUUUUUUUUUUUCCAGUGAGCUUUAUUCUGGUUGCUGAAAGUUUCUUUUAUUAGAUUCUAGAGUUCUGAAAAACUUCAUCGUGACAAUUCUUGCCAGCUUGUUCACUGCUUUUAUGAAGGGAUGAAGGCUUGGAGUUGUCUACUCUGCUGUUUUCAGAGACGUCUGUCCUGUGGAGAGAAUGGGUGACACGGUGUGGUAUUCCUGAUUCCAACAAAAGGGCAGCAUCCGGUCCAGAUCCCUUCCGACUUAUCUGGGAGUCUUGAGAGUUGGAUGGCUGAGGAGAUUUGUGGCCGAGCCCUGGAAAUCAUUGACCUGCCCCUUCUGUGGGGUCUACUCUGAGGAACCCUAUUCCAUAACGUGCGCACCUUCUGUCCAAGGCGCCUGGGCUCCUCGGUGAUGCAGACUGACAAGAGGCUUUUCAUCCACUCCGGGUGCUUUCAGUUCUCCCAGAAUAAGUAAGGCCAGGAAAACCUGGUAGCAGGACGUUUGGCGGACCUUUUCAGAGAGUUGGACUCUGGAGUCGAGCACUGAGCAUGGGCCUUAGGUCGGCAGGUUUCUGUGUGACCGUGACAGAAAACCGGAAAAGACUCAUCUCUUCCUUUUACCUGCACUGUUUUGAAGACCUCUGCUUGACAUCUUGCAAACAACUUAUACUUCCCCUGCCUUCAGCAUUUGGUGAGAAAGCACCAGACGGGCUAUUCAUUUCUCGCCAGCCUCUUGACAUUUCUCAGAUACGCAAGAUCCAGAUCAACACAGCCCUUGGGAGGGUGGCUGAGACGAAGGUGCUCACGCCUGCGCCAAGCCCGUGCUGCGUAUGCUCGGAUUUUAUGUGAAUGUGAACUUGGGUUCACUAACCACCACCGACUGUCUCACAUCCUCUGAGACAUGUGAGGUGUCAGAAGGGUAUGUGUGCUCGAGUCCGGUAGAGAC
Molecule: long non-coding RNA, 16278 nt
Filed under: Lynx pardinus (Iberian lynx)
Lineage: Eukaryota; Metazoa; Chordata; Mammalia; Carnivora; Felidae
Source: RNAcentral